Gasterosteus aculeatus aculeatus (three-spined stickleback) is the source of this 707-nucleotide long non-coding RNA. The record is from Ensembl. NCBI's taxonomy places the organism in Eukaryota, Metazoa, Chordata, Actinopteri, Perciformes, Gasterosteidae.
AGAGGAUCUCAUUGGCAGGAGGCAGGUUUCCUGUUGAUCUCCUGCAGCUGUGUGGAGAUGCGAGACGUCUGCAGAAGUAAAGCUUGAUGGUUCUCAACCAGCAGACUCUGGUGACGAGCCAUGUUCUGCAGAUCCAGGAUCUGCUGAGAGCCCUGAGAAGAAGACGUUUAUUGAGACAGCAUCAAGCUCAAGGAGGGACGCAGAAGGUGGGGCGACGCCUCACUGUUUUCUAUUGGCCAGCCGCCACUGAGUUGAAGUCUCAAGACACAAUGAAGGAGGGAGACUUCCUCCGAGGGACAAAAUGAUUCACAACUACCCCCCCACCCCCGACCGACUGAAUCCCCCCCCCCCCCCCAAUCCCAAUAGCAGACUCCACCCCCUUCUCCAGCACCCUUCAACCUGACACACCAAGCAACAUCAAAACAUCUGGAGAUACGAGGAAGGUUAUAAAGCUGUGAGACAAAAGUAGUGAGGUAGACGUACAACAAGUACCUCAAAGAAGUAAUACAGUAACAAGAACUAUAUGUACCCCUUAGAUGUAGUUCGGUAUAAUGUAAUAUAUGUACCUUUUGAAGAGUAAUACAGUACAAAGUACUAGAUGUACCCCUGAGAUCUAGUACAGUAUAAUGCAAUACAUGGUCCUCUGAGAGGUAGUAAAGUAUAAAGUACUACAUGGACCUACAUGGAGACUCAUUACAAAAAAGAAC